GGCCCCUUGGCCUAAUGGUAAGGCGUUGCUUUCCGGUUCCAGCACCCUGCUGGCAAAGAUUCUGGGUUCGAGUCCCAGGGGGGUCG
RNAcentral lists this transfer RNA (86 nucleotides) under Grosmannia clavigera kw1407. It matches the Rfam family "tRNA". Rfam says of the family: Transfer RNA (tRNA) molecules are approximately 80 nucleotides in length. Lineage: Eukaryota; Fungi; Ascomycota; Sordariomycetes; Ophiostomatales; Ophiostomataceae. The record is from Rfam by way of RNAcentral.